UAAAAGCUUGGUCCUGGCUUUACUGUCAUCUUUAGCCAAACUUACACAUGCAAGUCUCCGCACCCCUGUGAGAAUGCCCUCAAUUUCCCGUCCGGAAACGAGGAGCUGGUAUCAGGCACACCCCCGUAGCCCAAGACGCCUUGCUCAGCCACACCCCCAAGGGAGUUCAGCAGUGAUAAAUAUUAAGCAAUGAGUGAAAACUUGACUUAGUUAAGGUUAAUAGGGCCGGUCAACCUCGUGCCAGCCACCGCGGUUAUACGAGGGGCCCAAGCUGACAGACGUCGGCGUAAAGAGUGGUUACGGAACGACCUAAACUAAAGUUAAACACCCCCCAAACUGUUAUACGCGCCCGGGGGCCGGAUACUCCACCACGAAAGUGACUUUAAUUUUCCUGAACCCACCACAGCUAUGGACCAAACUGGGAUUAGAUACCCCACUAUGCAUAGCCGUAAACUUUGAUAGUGUUAUACACCCGCUAUCCGCCCGGGGACUACAAGCAUCAGCUUCAAACCCAAAGGACUUGGCGGUGCCUCAGACCCACCUAGAGGAGCCUGUUCUAGAACCGAUAACCCCCGUUCAACCUCACCACCCCUGGCCAGCCCCGCCUAUAUACCGCCGUCGUCAGCUUACCCUUUGAAGGCCUCAUAGUAAGCAAAACGGGCACAGCCCCAAACGUCAGGUCGAGGUGUAGCGUAUGAGGUGGGAAGAAAUGGGCUACAUUCUCUACUCCAGAGAACACGAAAGGUAAAAUGAAACAAAUACCUGAAGGCGGAUUUAGCAGUAAGAAGAAAAAACGAGCGUUCUUCUGAAGCUGGCUCUGAAGCGCGCACACACCGCCCGUCACUCUCCCCAAAAUUUUACACUUCUAGUAAUUUUAAAAAAGAAAUAAAUAAAGGGGAGGCAAGUCGUAACAUGGUAAGUGUACCGGAAGGUGCACUUGGACAAAC
This 947-nucleotide ribosomal RNA is filed under the name Alepisaurus ferox (longnose lancetfish). RNAcentral's name for it is "12S ribosomal RNA". It matches the Rfam family "Bacterial small subunit ribosomal RNA". Lineage: Eukaryota; Metazoa; Chordata; Actinopteri; Aulopiformes; Alepisauridae. The record is from RNAcentral.